GAUAUGGCUCAGAUUGAACGCUGGCGGCAGGCCUAACACAUGCAAGUCGAACGGUAACAGGAAGAAGCUUGCUUCUUUGCUGACGAGUGGCGGACGGGUGAGUAAUGUCUGGGAAACUGCCUGAUGGAGGGGGAUAACUACUGGAAACGGUAGCUAAUACCGCAUAACGUCGCAAGACCAAAGAGGGGGGACCUUCGGGCCUCUUGCCAUCGGAUGUGCCCAGAUGGGAUUAGCUAGUAGGUGGGGUAAAGG
This 252-nucleotide ribosomal RNA is filed under the name uncultured bacterium. RNAcentral's name for it is "partial 16S ribosomal RNA". It matches the Rfam family "Bacterial small subunit ribosomal RNA", at positions 15 to 263 of the family's 1533-position model. The record is from RNAcentral.